This 460-nucleotide ribosomal RNA is filed under the name uncultured bacterium. RNAcentral's name for it is "partial 16S ribosomal RNA". It matches the Rfam family "Bacterial small subunit ribosomal RNA", at positions 338 to 795 of the family's 1533-position model. The record is from RNAcentral.
CCUACGGGGGGCAGCAGUGAGGAAUAUUGGUCAAUGGACGAGAGUCUGAACCAGCCAAGUAGCGUGAAGGAUGACUGCCCUAUGGGUUGUAAACUUCUUUUAUAUGGGAAUAAAAUGUUCCACGUGUGGGAUUUUGUAUGUACCAUAUGAAUAAGGAUCGGCUAACUCCGUGCCAGCAGCCGCGGUAAUACGGAGGAUCCGAGCUUUAUCCGGAUUUUUUGGGUUUAAAGGGAGCGUAGGUGGAUUGUUAAGUCAGUUGUGAAAGUUUGCGGUACAAGCGGAAAAUUGCAGUUGAAACUGGCAGUCUUGAGUACAGUAGAGGUGGGCGGAAUGCGUGGUGUAGCGGUGAAAUGCUUAGAUAUCACGCAGAACUCCGAUUGCGAAGGCAGCUCACGGGACUGCAACUGACACUGAGGCUCGAAAGUGUGGGUAUCAAACAGGAUUAGAUACCCCGGUAGUC